AAAUUGAAGAGUUUGAUCAUGGCUCAGAUUGAACGCUGGCGGCAGGCCUAACACAUGCAAGUCGAGCGGAAACGAGUUAUCAGAACCUUCGGGGAACGAUAACGGCGUCGAGCGGCGGACGGGUGAGUAAUGCCUAGGAAAUUGCCCUGAUGUGGGGGAUAACCAUUGGAAACGAUGGCUAAUACCGCAUGAUGCCUACGGGCCAAAGAGGGGGACCUU
RNAcentral lists this ribosomal RNA (219 nucleotides) under Vibrio parahaemolyticus. RNAcentral describes it as "partial 16S ribosomal RNA". It matches the Rfam family "Bacterial small subunit ribosomal RNA", at positions 1 to 216 of the family's 1533-position model. The record is from RNAcentral. Lineage: Bacteria; Pseudomonadati; Pseudomonadota; Gammaproteobacteria; Vibrionales; Vibrionaceae.